AGAAACAGACAAACUAUAUUUGAAACCUAGGUUAAAGGUCAAGUUUAAAGGUGUAAAAACAAGUACAGGAUAUUUACAAUGAGCAGACCUCAGUGCAAGAAAGUGUAAUUCUAACACUGAAAAGGUCAAAGGUCAACUUUAACAUUAAAAGGUGUAAAAACAAGUACAGGAUAUUUACAAUAAGCAGACCUCAGUGCAAGAAAGUGUCUUUCCAACACUGAAAAGGUCAAAGGUCAACUUUAACAUUAAAAGGUGUAAAAACAAGUACAAGAUAUUUACAAUAAGCAGACCUCAGUGCAAGAAAGUGUCUUUCCAACACUGAAAAGGUCAAAGGUCAACUUUAACAUUAAAAGGUGGUCAAACAAGUACAAGAUAUUUACAAUAAGCAGACCUCAGUGCAAGAAAGUGUCUUUCCAACACUGAAAAGGUCAAAGGUCAACUUUAACAUUAAAAGGUGUAAAAAGAAGUACAGGAUAUUUACAAUAAGCAGACCUCAGUGCAAGAAAGUGUCUUUCCAACACUAAAAAGGUCAAAGGUCAACUUUAAAGGUGUAAAAACAAGUACAGUAUAUUUGCAAUAAGCAGACCUCAGUGCAAGAAAGUGUAUUUCCAACACUGAAAAGGUCAAAGGUCAACUUUAACAUUAAAAGGUGUAAAAACAAGCACAAGAUAUUUACAAUAAGCAGACCUCAGUGCAAGAAAGGGAGGUGGGGGGGUACUCACCUUCCACUUCACUGACACACAUCAGCAUCCAGUUCUCCAUGAGAAGAGGGGGAGGGGGAGAGGGCGAUGUACUCACCUUUAUUGACGCGCUCGGUUUCAGUGUCCCAUGCUUCAUCAGAAGAGAUGGCGCUCAGGAGAGUGUCAUCAAGGCCUCGUUCUCGGGACGUUCAACAAU
Oreochromis aureus is the source of this 897-nucleotide long non-coding RNA. NCBI's taxonomy places the organism in Eukaryota, Metazoa, Chordata, Actinopteri, Cichliformes, Cichlidae. The record is from Ensembl.